Molecule: ribosomal RNA, 753 nt
Filed under: uncultured Halomonas sp.
Lineage: Bacteria; Pseudomonadati; Pseudomonadota; Gammaproteobacteria; Oceanospirillales; Halomonadaceae
Description: bacterial SSU rRNA
Rfam family: Bacterial small subunit ribosomal RNA
Source: RNAcentral
CAUAGGAAUCUGCCCGAUAGUGGGGGAUAACCUGGGGAAACCCAGGCUAAUACCGCAUACGUCCUACGGGAGAAAGGGGGCUUCGGCUCCCGCUAUUGGAUGAGCCUAUGUCGGAUUAGCUAGUUGGUGAGGUAAUGGCUCACCAAGGCAACGAUCCGUAGCUGGUCUGAGAGGAUGAUCAGCCACAUCGGGACUGAGACACGGCCCGAACUCCUACGGGAGGCAGCAGUGGGGAAUAUUGGACAAUGGGGGCAACCCUGAUCCAGCCAUGCCGCGUGUGUGAAGAAGGCCCUCGGGUUGUAAAGCACUUUCAGCGAGGAAGAACGCCUAUCGGUUAAUACCCGGUAGGAAAGACAUCACUCGCAGAAGAAGCACCGGCUAACUCCGUGCCAGCAGCCGCGGUAAUACGGAGGGUGCAAGCGUUAAUCGGAAUUACUGGGCGUAAAGCGCGCGUAGGUGGCUUGAUAAGCCGGUUGUGAAAGCCCCGGGCUCAACCUGGGAACGGCAUCCGGAACUGUCAGGCUAGAGUGCAGGAGAGGAAGGUAGAAUUCCCGGUGUAGCGGUGAAAUGCGUAGAGAUCGGGAGGAAUACCAGUGGCGAAGGCGGCCUUCUGGACUGACACUGACACUGAGGUGCGAAAGCGUGGGUAGCAAACAGGAUUAGAUACCCUGGUAGUCCACGCCGUAAACGAUGUCGACCAGCCGUUGGGUGCCUAGAGCACUUUGUGGCGAAGUUAACGCGAUAAGUCGACCG